This is a ribosomal RNA of Lepisosteus oculatus (spotted gar), 119 nucleotides long. NCBI's taxonomy places the organism in Eukaryota, Metazoa, Chordata, Actinopteri, Semionotiformes, Lepisosteidae. The record is from Rfam.
GCCAGCAGCCAUAUCACCCUCCAACUCCCAAUUGGCAACCCAAAGAAGCUAAGCAGGUGUGAGUCUGGUCAGUACCUGGAUGGGUGACCUCCUGGGAAGAUCUAAGGUUGCUGCUGUAA